UACGGGGGGUGCGAGCGUUGUCCGGAAUCACUGGGCGUAAAGGGCGCGUAGGUGGUUUGAUAAGGGUGUGGUGAAAGUCCGGAGCUCAACUCCGGAUCUGCCGUGCCGACUGUCAAACUCGAGGGCUGUAGAGGCAGACGGAAUUCCGGGUGUAGCGGUGGAAUGCGUAGAGAUCCGGAGGAAGACCGGUGGCGAAGGCGGUCUGCUGGGCAGUUUCUGACACUGAGGCGCGAAAGCGUGGGGAGCAAACAGG
RNAcentral lists this ribosomal RNA (253 nucleotides) under uncultured bacterium. Its description in RNAcentral is "partial 16S ribosomal RNA". It matches the Rfam family "Bacterial small subunit ribosomal RNA", at positions 524 to 776 of the family's 1533-position model. The record is from RNAcentral.